This 440-nucleotide ribosomal RNA is filed under the name uncultured bacterium. RNAcentral describes it as "partial 16S ribosomal RNA". It matches the Rfam family "Bacterial small subunit ribosomal RNA", at positions 339 to 795 of the family's 1533-position model. The record is from RNAcentral.
CUACGGGCUGCUCCAGUGAGGAAUAUUGCACAAUGGGGGGAACCCUGAUGCAGCAACGCCGCGUGGAGGAUGACGCAUUUCGGUGUGUAAACUCCUUUUAUAUGUCAAGAAAAUGACGGUAGCAUAUGAAUAAGCACCGGCUAACUCCGUGCCAGCAGCCGCGGUAAUACGGAGGGGUGCAAGCGUUACUCGGAAUCACUGGGCGUAAAGGACGCGUAGGCGGGUUGGAAAGUCAGGUGUGAAAUCCUACAGCUUAACUGUAGAACUGCACUUGAAACUUCUAAUCUAGAGUAUGGGAGGGGGAGAUGGAAUUAGUGGUGUAGGGGUAAAAUCCGUAGAUAUCACUAGGAAUACCUAAAGCGAAGGCGAUCUCCUGGAACAUUACUGACGCUAAGGCGUGAAAGCGUGGGGAGCAAACAGGAUUAGAUACCCUGGUAGUC